UUAUGCUACUUCAGGUAAUAAAGGUAUUGAAAAUAUUCAACCGUUUCUGUAUCACUUUUAUGAUAUGAGUGUAGGUAUUUGUCAUAAUGGUAACCUCAUUAAUGCUAAAUCAUUGCGUCAGAAUUUAGAAAAACAAGGUGCUAUCUUCCAUUCGUCUUCAGAUACUGAAGUCAUUAUGCAUUUGAUACGUCGAAGUAAAGCUCCUACUUUUGAGGAAGCGUUGAAAGAAAGUUUGCGAAAAGUUAAAGGCGGUUUUACAUUUGCGAUAUUAACUAAAGAUGCGUUAUAUGGCGCAGUAGAUCCAAA
Molecule: small RNA, 306 nt
Filed under: Staphylococcus aureus
Lineage: Bacteria; Bacillati; Bacillota; Bacilli; Caryophanales; Staphylococcaceae
Description: Transcript
Source: RNAcentral